This 464-nucleotide ribosomal RNA is filed under the name uncultured ciliate. RNAcentral's name for it is "SSU rRNA". It matches the Rfam family "Eukaryotic small subunit ribosomal RNA". Lineage: Eukaryota; Ciliophora. The record is from RNAcentral.
AUUUGUCUGGUUAAUUCCGAUAACGAACGAGACCUUAACCUGCUAACUAGAUACUUUUAUUCUAUAAUUGUUAUCUUCUUAGAGGGACUAUGUAAUUAAAAUACAUGGAAGUUUGAGGCAAUAACAGGUCAGUGAUGCCCUUAUAUGUCCUGGGCUGCACGCGUGCUACACUGAUGCAUACAACAAGUGCCUAACCAGACAUGGUACGGCAAUCUCGAAUAUGCAUCGUGAUGGGGAUAGAUCUUUGCAAUUAUAGAUCUUGAACGAGGAAUUCCUAGUAAGUGCAAGUCAUCAUCUUGCAUUGAUUAUGUCCCUGCCCUUUGUACACACCGCCCGUCGCUCCUACCGAUACCGGGUGAUCCGGUGAACCUUUUGGACUCAUUGAGAAAGAUAAGUAAACCAUAUCACCUAGAGGAAGGAGAAGUCGUAACAAGGUUUCCGUAGGUGAACCUGCRGAAGGAUCA